Molecule: transfer RNA, 69 nt
Filed under: Danacetichthys galathenus
Lineage: Eukaryota; Metazoa; Chordata; Actinopteri; Beryciformes; Cetomimidae
Description: tRNA-His
Rfam family: tRNA
About the family: Transfer RNA (tRNA) molecules are approximately 80 nucleotides in length.
Source: RNAcentral
GUAGAUAUAGUUUAAGUAAAACAUUAGAUUGUGAUUCUAAAAAUAAGGGUUGAACUCCCAUUAUCCACC